Molecule: long non-coding RNA, 448 nt
Filed under: Nicotiana tabacum (common tobacco)
Lineage: Eukaryota; Viridiplantae; Streptophyta; Magnoliopsida; Solanales; Solanaceae
Description: long non-coding RNA (NTAB_LNC018464)
Source: RNAcentral
GUGGUUGUUGAUUUUGUAGGUAAUUGUCUUUUGGGAGUGUCUUUUGGAGGAGUGUAGGGUGAUGGGGUUGGCUUUUCUUGUGGUUUUGUUCUAGUAGUGGUUUGUGGCCUUUCUUCAAUUCUAACGGAGGAGACCUUAAGAGCAAGAGAAGAUGAUGUGUUGGGAGAAUAAUUAGGAGAAAGAAGAGAUUUAGGGUGUAGUGAUAAUGUAGAAAGGAAAGUGGAAGAGAAGGCAUCCAUUAUGUCUCUUCUUGAAGAAAAGAAGAAGCAAGAUUUGAUACUAAAGAGUAAAGGAAUAAAAUAAGUGCUUGCAUGAACUGAGGUCCCAUGGCCAAUUUAUACCGUAUGUGGGAUAAGAGUGAGUAGUAAGGCAAAGGAAAGGGUGUAACACCCGGGUGUAACGCGAAGGUAUGGUCUGUGUGCGCAUCGCGAACGCGUGAGAGGUAUCG